Molecule: ribosomal RNA, 440 nt
Filed under: uncultured bacterium
Lineage: Bacteria
Description: bacterial SSU rRNA
Rfam family: Bacterial small subunit ribosomal RNA
Source: RNAcentral
CCUACGGGAGGCAGCAGUGGGGAAUCUUGCGCAAUGGGCGAAAGCCUGACGCAGCAACGCCGCGUGCGGGAAGAAGGCCCUCGGGUUGUAAACCGCUUUCAGGAGGAACGAAACUGACGGUACUUCCAGAAGAAGGUGCGGCCAACUACGUGCCAGCAGCCGCGGUGACACGUAGGCACCAAGCGUUGUCCGGAUUUAUUGGGCGUAAAGAGCUCGUAGGCGGUUCGGUAAGUCGGGUGUGAAAACUUUGGGCUCAACCCAAAGCGUGCACUCGAUACUGCCGUGACUUGAGUUCGGUAGGGGAGUGGGGAAUUCCUAGUGUAGCGGUGAAAUGCGCAGAUAUUAGGAGGAACACCGGUGGCGAAGGCGCCACUCUGGGCCGAAACUGACGCUGAGGAGCGAAAGCGUGGGUAGCAAACAGGAUUAGAUACCCUAGUAGU